This 309-nucleotide ribosomal RNA is filed under the name Triticum aestivum (bread wheat). RNAcentral's name for it is "partial small subunit ribosomal RNA". Lineage: Eukaryota; Viridiplantae; Streptophyta; Magnoliopsida; Poales; Poaceae. The record is from RNAcentral.
AUGUUGUGCAAUGACAUAUCAACAUUGUUGGACACAUUCAUUCAUAUUACUUCUCCUAACCUUGUCUAUUUAUACAUAGGUGAGGUUUCAUCUACCGAAAACAUGUGCUAUCACAACCAUUGGGAUAAAUGCCAUCCUGAUCAAAAUGGAAUGUGUCGAGAUAGUUGUGUGGAAGACGGAUGGGAUGAUGGACAAUGCCGGAACCGGUUUAAAAGACUAAUGGGUGCCAAGUGCGAAUGCUACCCUAAGACUUCGAUCAUUAGGGAGGCAACAUGCGACUUUCUUCUACCAAGUUACUACUAUUUAUAA